This 473-nucleotide ribosomal RNA is filed under the name uncultured bacterium. RNAcentral describes it as "partial 16S ribosomal RNA". It matches the Rfam family "Bacterial small subunit ribosomal RNA", at positions 28 to 507 of the family's 1533-position model. The record is from RNAcentral.
GAUAAACGCUGGCGGCGCACAUAAGACAUGCAAGUUGAACGGACUUAAUCGAAAUAUUUAUAUUUUGAAGCGGUUAGUGGCGGACUGGUGAGUAACGCGUAAGGAACCUGCCUAUUAGAGGGGAAUAACAGUGAGAAAUCAUUGCUAAUACCGCAUAUGCCAUAGAUAUCACAUGAUAACAGUGGGAAAGGAGCAAUCCGCUAAUAGAUGGCCUUGCGCCUGAUUAGAUAGUUGGUGGGGUAACGGCCUACCAAGUCGACGAUCAGUAGCCGGACUGAGAGGUUGAACGGCCACAUUGGGACUGAGAUACGGCCCAGACUCCUACGGGAGGCAGCAGUCGGGAAUAUUGCGCAAUGGAGGAAACUCUGACGCAGUGACGCCGCGUAGAGGAAGAAGGUUUUCGGAUUGUAAACUAUUGUCGUUAGGGAAGAGAAAGGACAGUACCUAAGGAGGAAGCUCCGGCUAACUACGUG